This is a non-coding RNA of Paramormyrops kingsleyae, 480 nucleotides long. The record is from RefSeq and is a predicted model, not a curated record. NCBI's taxonomy places the organism in Eukaryota, Metazoa, Chordata, Actinopteri, Osteoglossiformes, Mormyridae.
AGUUAUAGAAACCAACUCACUGAAGUAUAAUGGAAUCUGGCCACCAAAAAUAGAAUGGGCAAAUCAACCGGAGAAUUGCAGUAACAUCACGCUUCAUUACAGCUGCAGAAAUAAAAGCCAAGAGAUUUUCAACCUUGGUCAACUGAUGCCACAGCACAAUUACACCUGCACUGCGAAUGUAAAUUACAGAAAUGACACCUUCAUUGUUAAGGAUAUAGCAGUUAACAUCAGCUGUGAUAUAAACAUACACCUGGACAAUAAGACAGGAAAUACUUCUGUCCAGCUCAUGUUGAACAGUACAAGCACACAGUGUCCUCAGCUCGUGCAUAAUCUUACUUUUAAAAGUUGUGAAAAAGGAAAAGAGGAGUGCCAGGCAAACCACCAUAAUUUCACAGCCCUAACUCCAUACACAGAUUAUACAUUCUUCGCAAAGGCCUUAUAUAAUGGAACACCUGUAUCAACAAGCAAGGAUAAAACUAU